RNAcentral lists this transfer RNA (91 nucleotides) under Burkholderiales bacterium. RNAcentral's name for it is "tRNA-Ser". It matches the Rfam family "tRNA". Rfam says of the family: Transfer RNA (tRNA) molecules are approximately 80 nucleotides in length. Their secondary structure includes four short double-helical elements and three loops (D, anti-codon, and T loops). Further hydrogen bonds mediate the characteristic L-shaped molecular structure. tRNAs have two regions of fundamental functional importance: the anti-codon, which is responsible for specific mRNA codon recognition, and the 3' end, to which the tRNAs corresponding amino acid is attached (by aminoacyl-tRNA synthetases). tRNAs cope with the degeneracy of the genetic code in two manners: having more than one tRNA (with a specific anti-codon) for a particular amino acid; and 'wobble' base-pairing, i.e. permitting non-standard base-pairing at the 3rd anti-codon position. Lineage: Bacteria; Pseudomonadati; Pseudomonadota; Betaproteobacteria; Burkholderiales. The record is from RNAcentral.
GGAGAGGUGGCAGAGUGGUUGAAUGUACCUGACUCGAAAUCAGGCGUACGGUAGCCCCGUACCGCGGGUUCGAAUCCCGCCCUCUCCGCCA